GAGUUUGAUCGUGGCUCAGAAUCAACGCUGGCGGCGUGCCUAACACAUGCAAGUCGAACGAGAAAGGGACUUCGGUCCUGAGUAUAGUGGCGCACGGGGUGAGUAACACGUGAAUGAUCUACCUCCGAGUGGGGAAUAACUAAGAGAAAUCUUAGCUAAUACCGCAUAACACUUACGAGUCAAAGCAGCAAUGCGCUUGGAGAGGAGUUCGCGGCAGAUUAGUUAGUUGGCGGGGUAAUGGCCCACCAAGACGAUGAUCUGUAUCCGGCCUGAGAGGGCGCACGGACACACUGGAACUGAAACACGGUCCAGACUCCUACGGGAGGCAGCAGUGGGGAAUUUUGCGCAAUGGGGGAAACCCUGACGCAGCAACGCCGCGUGGAGGAUGAAGUAUCUUGGUACGUAAACUCCUUUCGAUGGGGAAGAUAAUGACGGUACCCAUAGAAGAAGCCCCGGCUAACUUCGUGCCAGCCGCCGCAGU
Molecule: ribosomal RNA, 481 nt
Filed under: uncultured bacterium
Lineage: Bacteria
Description: bacterial SSU rRNA
Rfam family: Bacterial small subunit ribosomal RNA
Source: RNAcentral